CAGGCCUAACACAUGCAAGUCGAGCGGUAAGGCCUUUCGGGGUACACGAGCGGCGAACGGGUGAGUAACACGUGGGUGAUCUGCCCUGCACUCUGGGAUAAGCUUGGGAAACUGGGUCUAAUACCGGAUAUGACCACAGCAUGCAUGUGUUGUGGUGGAAAGAUUUAUCGGUGCAGGAUGGGCCCGCGGCCUAUCAGCUUGUUGGUGGGGUAAUGGCCUACCAAGGCGACGACGGGUAGCCGACCUGAGAGGGUGACCGGCCACACUGGGACUGAGACACGGCCCAGACUCCUACGGGAGGCAGCAGUGGGGAAUAUUGCACAAUGGGCGGAAGCCUGAUGCAGCGACGCCGCGUGAGGGAUGAAGGCCUUCGGGUUGUAAACCUCUUUCAGCAGGGACGAAGCGUGAGUGACGGUACCUGCAGAA
Molecule: ribosomal RNA, 426 nt
Filed under: Rhodococcus sp. KU18
Lineage: Bacteria; Bacillati; Actinomycetota; Actinomycetes; Mycobacteriales; Nocardiaceae
Description: bacterial SSU rRNA
Rfam family: Bacterial small subunit ribosomal RNA
Source: RNAcentral